GGAACCAUGUCGAAGUCUGACGGAGCACGCCGCGUGAGUGAUGAAGGUUUUCGGAUCGUAAAACUCUGUUGUUAGGGAAGAACAAGUACCGUUCGAAUAGGGCGGUACCUUGACGGUACCUAACCAGAAAGCCACGGCUAACUACGUGCCAGCAGCCGCGGUAAUACGUAGGUGGCAAGCGUUGUCCGGAAUUAUUGGGCGUAAAGCGCGCGCAGGCGGUUUCUUAAGUCUGAUGUGAAAGCCCCCGGCUCAACCGGGGAGGGUCAUUGAAAACUGGGGAACUUGAGUGCAAAAGAGGAAAGUGGAAUUCCACGUGUAGCGGUGAAAUGCGUAAAGAUGUGGAGGAACACCAGUGGCGAAGGCGACUCUCUGGUCUGUAACUGACGCUGAGGCGCGAAAGCGUGGGAAGCGAACAGGAUUAAAUACCCUGGUAGUCCACGCCGUAAACGAUGAGUGCUAAUGGUUAGAGGGUUUCCGCCCUUUAUUGCUGCACCAAACGCAUUAAGCACUCCGCCUGGGAAGUACGGUCGCAAGACUGAAACUCAGGAUUUUUUUAGGGG
RNAcentral lists this ribosomal RNA (560 nucleotides) under Bacillus licheniformis. RNAcentral's name for it is "bacterial SSU rRNA". It matches the Rfam family "Bacterial small subunit ribosomal RNA", at positions 367 to 918 of the family's 1533-position model. The record is from RNAcentral. Lineage: Bacteria; Bacillati; Bacillota; Bacilli; Caryophanales; Bacillaceae.